GAAAGCGUUGCCGCAGGCAACGACCCGAAGGGCGAGGCGCAACGCGCCGAGUAAUCCUUCCCCCACCACCA
RNAcentral lists this small RNA (71 nucleotides) under Klebsiella pasteurii. RNAcentral describes it as "partial RtT sRNA". It matches the Rfam family "RtT RNA", at positions 60 to 130 of the family's 130-position model. From Rfam's summary of the family: This family represents a bacterial cis-regulatory element known as RtT RNA. Lineage: Bacteria; Pseudomonadati; Pseudomonadota; Gammaproteobacteria; Enterobacterales; Enterobacteriaceae. The record is from RNAcentral.